Molecule: ribosomal RNA, 869 nt
Filed under: Salmonella enterica subsp. enterica serovar Dublin
Lineage: Bacteria; Pseudomonadati; Pseudomonadota; Gammaproteobacteria; Enterobacterales; Enterobacteriaceae
Description: partial 23S ribosomal RNA
Rfam family: Bacterial large subunit ribosomal RNA
Source: RNAcentral
AGCAUGUGUGUUAGUGGAAGCGUCUGGAAAGGCGCGCGAUACAGGGUGACAGCCCCGUACACAAAAGCGCAUGUGCUGUGAGCUCGAUGAGUAGGGCGGGACACGUGGUAUCCUGUCUGAAUAUGGGGGGACCAUCCUCCAAGGCUAAAUACUCCUGACUGACCGAUAGUGAACCAGUACCGUGAGGGAAAGGCGAAAAGAACCCCGGCGAGGGGAGUGAAAAAGAACCUGAAACCGUGUACGUACAAGCAGUGGGAGCACAGGUUUACCUGUGUGACUGCGUACCUUUUGUAUAAUGGGUCAGCGACUUAUAUUCUGUAGCAAGGUUAACCGAAUAGGGGAGCCGGAGGGAAACCGAGUCUUAAUUGGGCGUUAAGUUGCAGGGUAUAGACCCGAAACCCGGUGAUCUAGCCAUGGGCAGGUUGAAGGUUGGGUAACACUAACUGGAGGACCGAACCGACUAAUGUUGAAAAAUUAGCGGAUGACCUGUGGCUGGGGGUGAAAGGCCAAUCAAACCGGGAGAUAGCUGGUUCUCCCCGAAAGCUAUUUAGGUAGCGCCUCGUGAAUUCAUCUCCGGGGGUAGAGCACUGUUUCGGCUAGGGGGCCAUCCCGGCUUACCAACCCGAUGCAAACUGCGAAUACCGGAGAAUGUUAUCACGGGAGACACACGGCGGGUGCUAACGUCCGUCGUGAAGAGGGAAACAACCCAGACCGCCAGCUAAGGUCCCAAAGUCAUGGUUAAGUGGGAAACGAUGUGGGAAGGCCCAGACAGCCAGGAUGUUGGCUUAGAAGCAGCCAUCAUUUAAAGAAAGCGUAAUAGCUCACUGGUCGAGUCGGCCUGCGCGGAAGAUGUAACGGGGCUAAACCAU